Molecule: small nucleolar RNA, 122 nt
Filed under: Amborella trichopoda
Lineage: Eukaryota; Viridiplantae; Streptophyta; Magnoliopsida; Amborellales; Amborellaceae
Description: Small nucleolar RNA snoR111
Rfam family: Small nucleolar RNA snoR111
Source: Rfam by way of RNAcentral
AUCUGGGAGAUAGCCCCUGAUAAGAAUGGGCCCAUCUCUGUUGCAACAGAGGAAAUUAAUGUCAAGAUAUCGUUUCAAUUGCCCUGAUUUGAAUGGGCAAUUUGAUUGUUGCUUGACAACAA